AUGGUGGUAUGAAGCAUUUGCCCUCUUACCCCUGCAAGGCACUAUCAAAAAGAAGCUAUUCAGUCUGGGGGGAAGGUAUGAAGGCUCGUGGACCUGGGGCCCUUUGGAUGAGAUUCAGUGUGUAGAUGAAGAUGUGACUUCACACAUUGGUGCCUGCAUUGGAGAUAUUUUGACCUUGGAAUCUGGACUGAAAUUCCAAUUCAUUUUGCAGAUGAACUAUAAAUUCUCAAUUUCUAAGAAUGAUAGAUGGAAACAAUGGUUCUCAUGUUCAGUGCAGGACAUGAGGCUCAGAGGAAGGGCUGCAUGAACAUUUUUUGAAUUAUUCAUUGUUUUAGCAUUAUUUUUUGCAUUUAUUCUGAAAUUCAAGACAAAUCAUCUCAUUUAUAAUGGAUGCCAUCUUUAAAAAUUUUAGGAUUUCUGAUGUAAAUAUUGGUAAGGUAUUAAAUCCUGCACUCUCUUUGUUGCCUUGGAAAAUGUUAUCUGGUAUUUUCAAGCUUUAGAAGACAAUUAAGUUAGUUCCACUUCCUUUUUCUUGGUGUAAGAAAUUUUAUCAGACCUCACUGUACCCACGUGGGGAUUUGAUUCACCUUGUUUGUGGUUUAACAGGUAUACAACACUGAAUCCAGUAUUACCAAAUUGGUUUCCAAAAAAAGGAAAAAAAUACUAUGUGCUCUGUAACAAGAAGUAUGGCUAUAUAGAUUAAACUGCAUUAACACAUACAAUACUAGAAUUAAUGCUCUCUGACUAAUUUGCCCAUGUUAGUGAGCAAUGUCUUUUUUUUUUUUUAAAUGUAAUGAUAUCCGGUUUCAGGAUAUAUGAUUACAAAUUCACAAAUUGUUUUUUGUGGUCUUAUCUCUACCUCUGAUCUUUGAGGGAUUACAGCAAUCUGGUGCUAAAUUUUUAUAUUGCAGUGAGAGCAAUUCUUUUAAAUUUAUGGAUGAUUUCCAUUUAAUCACUUCUGUCCUAAAUUGGAAACCACCUGAACUACUGUUAAAAAAUCACAGUAACAAAUUUUACUUGACUUCUUCACCAUCAUCAUUCAAUACAGACUCUUAAAUAAACAUUUUUAGUAUCUUUUUGUUCUGCA
This 1087-nucleotide long non-coding RNA is filed under the name Anser cygnoides (Swan goose). RNAcentral describes it as "lncRNA (ENSACDG00005004729.1)". The record is from RNAcentral. Lineage: Eukaryota; Metazoa; Chordata; Aves; Anseriformes; Anatidae.